ACUUAAGCAUAUCAAUAAGCGGAGGAAAAGAAACCAACAGGGAUUGCCCUAGUAACGGCGAGUGAAGCGGCAACAGCUCAAAUUUGAAAGCUGGCCUUCGGGUCCGCAUUGUAAUUUGUAGAGGAUGCUUUGGGGCAGCCGCCUGUCUAAGUUCCUUGGAACAGGACGUCAUAGAGGGUGAGAAUCCCGUAUGUGACAGGACAUGGCACCCUAUGUAAAGCUCCUUYGACGAGUCGAGUUGUUUGGGAAUGCAGCUCUAAAUGGGAGGUAAAUUUCUUCUAAAGCUAAAUACCGGCGAGAGACCGAUAGCGCACAAGUAGAGUGAUCGAAAGAUGAAAAGCACUUUGGAAAGAGAGUUAAAAAGCACGUGAAAUUGUUGAAAGGGAAGCGCUUGCAAUCAGACUUGUUUUGACUGUUCGGCCGGUCUUCUGACCGGUUUACUCAGUCUGGACAGGCCAGCAUCAGUUUUGGCGGCCGGAUAAAGGCCUGGGGAAUGUGGCUCUCGCUUCGGUGGGAGUGUUAUAGCCCUGGGUGUAAUACGGCCAGCCGGGACUGAGGUCC
Molecule: ribosomal RNA, 561 nt
Filed under: Aureobasidium thailandense
Lineage: Eukaryota; Fungi; Ascomycota; Dothideomycetes; Dothideales; Saccotheciaceae
Description: partial large subunit ribosomal RNA
Source: RNAcentral